Molecule: ribosomal RNA, 305 nt
Filed under: uncultured bacterium
Lineage: Bacteria
Description: bacterial SSU rRNA
Rfam family: Bacterial small subunit ribosomal RNA
Source: RNAcentral
GCGACCUACGGGGGGCAGCAGUGAGGAAUAUUAGUCAAUGGGCGCGAGCCUGAACCAGCCAAGUAGCGUGAAGGAUGACUGCCCUAUGGGUUGUAAACUUCUUUUAUAUGGGAAUAAAAUGUUCCACGUGUGGGAUUUUGUAUGUACCAUAUGAAUAAGGAUCGGCUAACUCCGUGCCAGCAGCCGCGGUAAUACGGAGGAUCCGUGCGUUAUCCGGAUUUAUUGGGUUUAAAGGGAGCGUAGGUGGAUUGUUAAGUCAGUUGUGAAAGUUUGCGGCUAAACCGUAAAAUUGCAGUUGAAACUGG